RNAcentral lists this small RNA (126 nucleotides) under Marmota monax (woodchuck). Lineage: Eukaryota; Metazoa; Chordata; Mammalia; Rodentia; Sciuridae. The record is from RNAcentral.
GCUGGGUAUGGUGAUGCACACCUGUAAUCCCAGCAGCUCAGAAGGCUGAGGUAGGAGGGUCACAGAGUUCAAAGCCAGCCUCAGCAACAGCAAGGUGCUAAGCAACUCAGUGAGACCCUGUCUCUA